GACAAAGCCUUGGUUGCGAUCAUAUAGGUGGGGCUGGUCCUGCUUUGAUCAGGGGGUUGGACUAGAUGACCUCCCGAGGUCCCUUCCAACCCUCAUUUUCUAUGAUUCUAUGAAUGCGUACUGAAACAAAUCAGUAGCGUGUAGGACACUGUUGUGAAAUUGAUUAUGCCAUGGCAUGGGACCUUCUUGUGAAAAGAUGUAGCACAUUUCACUUCUUACACUUGGUUGUGUAAUUGUGACCUUUGCUUUCACAUCUGGCAGUAUAUUUGAACAGAUUAUUUCCCUCUAUAAUUAAGGAUCUGCUGCCAUGUAGUAACAAAGCUCCCUUGUGAGGUCUGAGGAAAGAAAGUGUAUCCCCAGUGGUGGGAGGCAGGGUAAUGACAUUUGCAGAGAGUGUGGAUAAAGAUACUGGAAACUAUAAGUCAGCCUGAUCAAUCACAUUAUCCAAACUUUUCAAAAUUGUUUUCAAAAUGCGGUUAAAGAAACUUUGCCUGUCACUGCUGUUGGCAUUGCUACGGUAUGCCUGGUAUUUACAUCUACCUAUAUUUGGAGCUGGUUAGGAAUUUUCUGACAAAAUGCUGGAACAUCCCAAUUCAUUGCUAAUGGACUGUUUGCAAGAAAGGUUGGCAUUGAUGAAAGCCCAACUGAAACAUUUUUUUUAAAGUUUCUAAAUAUUUUGUGUUGAUAUUUAAAAAAAAAGUUCCUGUUUUCCAGUUGAAAAUGAUUUUUCAUUUAAACGUUUAGGCUAAUUACCAUUAAAAAGAAAAAGUUAAAAUAGAAACAAAAUGUUUUGAAACUUGUCAGAAGAAACCAUUUCAAUGUACUGGAAGUGAAUUUUUGGUUUACAAACAUUUUUUAGAUUUUUGCCUUUUGUCACAAGUCGGGGUGGGCAAAAAAUUAAAAAUCUUUAGAAUUCCCACAGGGUGGGAAAUCUGCAUGAUAUUCAGCUCUACACACUUAUGAUUGUAUUUGGGUUUGGAGUGCUGUUCAAUGUAGAUCUGGUAAGUAAUAGUUCUAAGAUUUCAUUUAUAUUUGCCUAUCUGGUAUGUCAGGUAAUUCCAUCAUGCAUGCAUAAAAAAUUUAGGAGUUGACAAAUCAACUAGAAUAAUUAUUUGAUCCAAUUAACUGGAUUAGGCUUGGCUUCUAGGAGUGGCUAACACUUGACUUAACAUGUCAUACAUAGAUAUGACACUGAACACUGCAGUUAUGUGAUAUCUCCAGUGAUACUUUCAGUGUUAUAUCUGUUUAGCACUGACUUACCACAAACAUACAAAAUUACAAAAGUUGCUGUGAUUAAUUCAAGUGCAAGUAUGUGUAUGACUGUUUUUUAGAAUAAAAAUGGCUAGUGCCAAUUGCUUUACUAAUGACUUUAGAUAAAUUAGCUUUAGCUACUUUUUUCCAAAAUAAAAUAAAGUCUACACUAAAAUGAUUAAUAUGUUUUUAAUUCACAGUGCAAAUCUGUGUGCAUCAGCCCUUAGUCUGAUCAGACCAGAGGUAGGCAACCUGUUAUCUCUGUGAACCAGAAUGACCCACCCUGAGUCAGAGGUAUGUGGGCGGGGGGUUGGAUGCUAGGACGAGGCUGCCACUGUCACUUGUCUCUCUGGUGGCAUGAGGGAAGUGCCCACAGCCAAAGCCCCCUACCACUGAAUGUUGCUGAAGCCCCAUGUCCACAGACUCUAGUCAGCUUGUGGGCUGCAGGUUGCAAACUCCUGCAUUAGACAGUUAUCUCAAUUUCCUCUCCUUAGAGAUUUCUAUUGAGGUAUAAUUUGCAUAAGAAACUGCUCUCCCCUUAGAAAUGUGGACUUUACUCAUUGCAUUCUGAAAUACUUGCAAAAAUAGAGCUUUCUGCUUCGGUAAUUUUUUAGAUUUUAGAUCUGCGUUCUAUAGCAGAGCCUUCUCUCUGGGUGAAAACUGUUACACUGACACUGGUAUCCCUGUCCCCAUUUAGUAUUGUGCACAACACUGGGUGGCACUCUAAACACUGGCUGGAGCCUCGAGCCACCCACAUACUCAUUCUGUGUGAGAUGCUUGUAGGAGAGAGAGAUCUUUGCCUACUGGAAAGAGAUGAGAGCAACCUGAACAACAAGCUCCUGCCCUUCCCACUGCUGCUGCCCGAUACCUUGCUGUGUUACAGAAGCUUUUCAAUAGAGGGGAGCGACAUUUUCCCAACAGGGCAUCUUUACUGAAUGUUUUUUCACUGUAAGACGGGGGUAUCAAGCUCAUCAGGCCUGUGGGCCAGAUGAGGGGUGUGGGGCUGGUCUGCGGACUUGGUUGAGUCCACAGACCCGCUCCACAUGCCAGAUCCAGCGUGCAGGGCUGGUCUGGCAUGGACAUUGCAUGCAGGGCACGCCUUACACUGGCUGCAUUGUAGCACACAUGCCAGCUGCAGCCCCACACAGUGCAUGCAGCAUGCACCAGACCAGCUCCACAUACAGCGUAUGCUUGUAGCACACAUGCCAGCUGCAGCCCCACACAGUGCAUGCAGCACGCACCAGACCAGCUCCACAUACAGCGUAUGCACCAGCUUCAGCCCUGUGUACUAGACCAGCUUCAUGCACUGCAUAUAACGCAUGGGGCUGGGGCCAGCACAUGCUGCAUGUGGCAUGUGGGGCCAGGCGGAGGUAUGCCAUGUGCAGUGUAUUAGUCCAGUCUAAGAUCCACAGGCAGUAUUGGGCCAGAUAAUAGGAUAUUUGUCCCACGGAUCUUUGUUGCCUUUCAGUUUCUCUUCUCUAAUGUGGGGACACCUGCUUACAUGAUUCCAGGAAUUCUUUGCAUUGUAAGGGCUUUGAGAAAGGGACUGCUUUUUUUGUAAAGAUGUGAUGUUCAUGCAUUAUUUCUAUACUCCUUUGAACAAGGCUUAUUAUUUUCAGCAGAAAAGCCGUGGAUUCUUAAAUUAAAUUAUUAGAAUUUUGGGACAUUCCUCUGUUUAAUUAUAACUUAAAGGUAGGCUGAAUUUUGGCCUACAUUCUGUAUUUUCCUUACAUUUUUUCUCUUGUGACUUCAGAAUCCUGUCGCUUUAGCUCUGAGGAAAAGUUUAAAUGCUAGAUGUGCAGUUCUUCCCGGGUAGCCAAAUGGAAGAAUUUAUUACUUGUGUCUGUCUGUUAAGAAGUAAUAAUAAUAAUAAAAGAAAUUAAAUUUCCCUAUCUGAAAUUAAGUUGCUAAGCAACCAGUCGUACCAAGUAUACCACCUACAUAAGCAUUGUUACAAACCAAAACUUAAUUUGCAGCACAAAUCAUUGUUGGAUGGUGCGUUGUUAUACUGAAAAGCCUAGUCUCAGGGAGUCAGCACAGUCAGGACCACAGGCUAGUUUUCAGUCACCAUAAGGUAGUAUGGAAGUCCUUGCACUCCAGCUGCCUCUUGCCCUUACAAUUCAACAUUCCUAUGUCCACAAUAAACCUGGCUACUUGAACCAAUCAACUGAAACACCCCCUUAUGUAUUAAAAAUAUUGAAUUGUAUGAUCACAUUUAAAUCAGUACAAGUAAACGGAGCAGAGGUAUAACUAGUCGAUACCAUAUAAUACUGGGUGCCAGCAACACAUGAUGCAAGAGCAGCAGCCAGAAGUUUGCUGCUGCAGCUUUUCUUGUUGCUGACACGUGUCAAGCAGCCAUUUAAAUACUGAUUUUUGGCAGCCAAGAAAAAAGGAGGGGACAUCUUUCUCCUUACAGCAGUGAAUCUCUGUCCAUUGCUCCUUGUAAGAGGUCACGGCUGAGGCCAGCUGGCUCCCCUGUUACCAUCCUCAGACCAAAGGGGUCAGUCCCACCUUCUGACUUGCUCCCUGCAACCUAAUGUUAAAAGAUAGAAGUUCUUCAGUGGAGUCUUCCCCUUUUCCCCAGCUGGUAUCUCUGGCUUUGCUUUUCCAGCUCACUAUUCACAUCGCUCCUUGUCACCUAGUACACUUGCUGCUUUCAUGCCAUCUGGGGUCUAUUGACCAGGUAUUCCCCCCCCACAACGCAAUCUGGGGAAUCUUCUACCCCAGAGCUUUCCAAACUUUUCAUGUUGGUGACACACUUUUUAGACAUGCAUCAUUUCGCGACACAGUAAUUCAGUUCCGGGGGAGGGGCCAAGGGAAGCAGACGCGAGUAAGGGAGCUCCGCGAUGCCCUUCCGCAAAAUUUUCUGCAUUUCGCGCGACACACCUACACACUGCCGCCGACACACUAAUGUGUCGUGGCACAGUUUGGAAAGCUCUGUUCUACCCCAUUUUAGCUGACACCAUCCCGAGUGGGAGGCUAUACGUCUUUGUCUAUAUUGAGUCACUCAAGCCCUGUGUUUGAGUUAGGAGAUCUGAUAGGACACCAAGCCUUCCAGUCCUGGCUUGGGUGUGUAUGCUAAUGUUCAGUUCCCAUCUUUCUGCUCAGGAUCCCUAAAAGUCCGUUCUUUACAAACAAACAAAAAUACAGGCAGAGCGUCUGCCCCUCUCCAAUUUCUGGUGCGUGUUUCUUGGCCUUCCACCCAGGGGUCUUUCCAUUCACACCUGUUCCUGUCUUUCUGCAGCCUCAUGAAGUGACCAGCCAGUCAGGGAUGAGAGCCUCCUGCGUUAUGGUGUUCCAGUCCCCUGCAGUGAGUAAGCUGUCUUAUUUUUAACUAUAAAGGGAACUCUUCAAUCUCCUGCUGAGAAAUAUGCUAGGCAAGUGAUACAAGUAAAAUUGCAAAAAAAUAAAGGACUUUUGUUACAAAAACCAAAACUUUUCAUUCUGGCUCCAACCAUCUGUGUUUUGAUUUGAGAGGGUAAAAUAUAUAUAUAUGGAUCAAAGUUCUGAAAGAUGCUGUGACCAGAUGUACAGAACAAGAUGCUGACUCAAAAGGUGAAUUAUAAGACCAACACGGCUACCAAGUACACCCCUGAAACAUGGAAGAUGCCGAAUUUUAG
Long non-coding RNA from Alligator sinensis (Chinese alligator), 4871 nucleotides. RefSeq lists it as uncharacterized. The transcript has 3 exons. The record is from RefSeq and is a predicted model, not a curated record. NCBI's taxonomy places the organism in Eukaryota, Metazoa, Chordata, Crocodylia, Alligatoridae.